This 433-nucleotide ribosomal RNA is filed under the name uncultured bacterium. RNAcentral describes it as "partial 16S ribosomal RNA". It matches the Rfam family "Bacterial small subunit ribosomal RNA", at positions 29 to 507 of the family's 1533-position model. The record is from RNAcentral.
AACGAACGUUGGCGGCAUGCCUAACACAUGCAAGUCGAACGAGACCUUCGGGCCUAGUGGCGCACGGGUGCGUAACGCGUGGGAACCUGCCCUUAGGUUCGGAAUAACUCCCCGAAAGGGGUGCUAAUACCGGAUAAUGUCUUCGGACCAAAGAUUUAUCGCCUUUGGAUGGGCCCGCGUUGGAUUAGCUAGUUGGUAGGGUAAAAGCCUACCAAGGCGACGAUCCAUAGCUGGUCUGAGAGGAUGAUCAGCCACGCUGGAACUGAGACACGGCCCAGACUCCUACGGAAGGGAGCAGUGGGGAAUAUUGGACGAGGGGCGAAAGCCUGAUCCAGCAAUGCGGCGUGAGUGAUGAAGGCCUUAGGGUUGUAAAGCUCUUUUAGCCGGGAUGAUAAUGACAGUACCGGGAGAAUAAGCUCCGGCUAACUCCGUG